Small nucleolar RNA from Corvus moneduloides (New Caledonian crow), 73 nucleotides. NCBI's taxonomy places the organism in Eukaryota, Metazoa, Chordata, Aves, Passeriformes, Corvidae. The record is from Ensembl.
GUUUGGGUGAUGACUUCAGUGUGUCGGAUACCCCUGCACUCGUCCUAUGAGUGAUAACUGCUGUCUGACAAAC